UGAAAAGGUCAAGAAAAGCAGUAGCUCAGUGGCUGAAUUUUUCUGAAGCAGGGAAAGUGGGGAAACCUCUUAAAGUGGUGUCUUAUUCAAUCCUGGAGCACAGGGAAAGAGUUUUAAUGCAAAAUACCAGAAAAAAAAGUCUGCAACAUCUCCCGUGAGAGUGGGGGAAAAAGGAGAUUAACAAUUGCAUCUUGAAACACUCAUGAUUUGAGGCCAUAUGUGUCCUUUGAACUCUGAAGAAGCUGUGCCAAAAGGAAGCCUUCUUCUCCUCCCCUCCUCCCACCGUGGAGCCGCUCUUAGAUAAUUGCAAUUAGCAGACAAUGCGGAGCGAACCCAAAUGUGAAGUUCAUGGGUGAGUGUCUGCAAAUUUCCUGAGAGCUUCAGAAACGCUGGCGCUCGGUCUCCGCUGUUGCCCUGUAACCCCGCAGCAGCUCGCGGAGUCCGAAGCAGCUCUGGGAGGUGUCGGUGACCCGCAUUUUCCGAGCGGCGCUGCUGAAGCCCGGCGGGGCGCCGCGCCUCGGGCAGGGCUCUGCGCGCACGGAGGCGGAGCUGCCGUCCCCGCGCUACGGCACCGGCAGCGGGGAAGGAACACCUCACCCUCUCAAAGACGAGGUGGGAGAAUUGCUGCUUGUGGUGCCCGAGGAAAGCAGGUUCCCUCUGCUCAUGUGCUGCUGGGCACCGGCCCGAGCGAUCGCUGGCACGUCGGGCUUUGGUGUUCAAAGGGAAUGUCCUCCGUGGAGAGAGGUGACAAGUGCCUUUUGUGUCCCUCCCCUCUUUAGCCUCUGAGAAGUGUCUUCUGCGUUAAACCAGGUUUCUGACCUCAUUUCUCAAAGGAGUUUUAAAUGAGGAGAAAUAGGAGUAUUAAUUAGUGCCCCGUUAAGUACUUGUAGUCAAGUAUGAUAAUUUUCUUGAAAGGAUAAUGUAUUAGAUGAAUAAAAAUACUCUCCAUUAAAAAAUGAAUACAAAGUCAUUUUAAACCACAAAGAUUAUGGUACAUUUCUGAAAAAUUAAUGUGAUUAAAGCAAAAUAUAUUUAAUAAAUUAAAAAGACCCUGUAAGGCUGUUUAACUUGUUGGUCUCAUAUUAACUAUUUUCAAAUCUAGUGCGAGAGAACUUCGACCUUACCUGCAGGGAUGGGAAGUGAUUUCUUCCGUCACUUAAUUUUUUGGCUUGUAAUUAUUAGGUCCGAGUUGUGGGUGUGGUGAUUUUAGCUUGUUUCGGUUUUUGUUGUUGUUUUGUUUGUUUGUUUGUUUGAGUGUUGUGCGAGUUUUUUUGCGUUUCUGGUAUCUUUCUCAGAGAUAGGUCACAGAAUAAAAACAGACUUUAGACAGUGAUCAGAAAUUAUAUGAAGAUUUCCUUGAUGGAUUUAGUUAAUGUGACCUACUCAUGUGCUGCUGUCUGGAUUUGGAGACCUCCAAAUAGCUGAAUAUUUUCAAGGAUGUUUCCUCCUGUUUGGUUUGUCUGUGAUGUGGUAUAGAUUGUGUCUGCUAGGAUCACAUAGACUUCCUUCAGUUACUUCAUGUGACUUCACACAAAUUAUAUUAAUUUUUUCCACAUAUAGUUUGCCCCUUAGAUUAUUUUUGGUUUAGGAACUUCCUUAACUCUCUACUGAGCUUUUACACAUUGAACUACUUAAUGAGAAUUGCUCUGUAUGUUGUGGAAGACAAUAAAGUAAUGAUUGGAGCUGGAGACAUAACCCAGAUUUAUGAGUUUGCCUGGUCAUUUAUGAAGUUUAUGUAUUGACUUAGGGAGGACAUAAAAAGCUCUGUGUAAAACUGGGUUUGCAUAGUAGCCUGUUUAAAAAACUUUGGGUUUUGUAGCAUUAGGAAUGAAGGCACUUCCUCACCAGUCUCAGCAAAAAC
This is a long non-coding RNA of Ficedula albicollis (Collared flycatcher), 1861 nucleotides long. Lineage: Eukaryota; Metazoa; Chordata; Aves; Passeriformes; Muscicapidae. The record is from Ensembl.